This 465-nucleotide ribosomal RNA is filed under the name uncultured bacterium. RNAcentral describes it as "partial 16S ribosomal RNA". It matches the Rfam family "Bacterial small subunit ribosomal RNA", at positions 28 to 507 of the family's 1533-position model. The record is from RNAcentral.
GACGAACGCUGGCGGCGUGCUUAACACAUGCCAGUCGAACGGAAAGGCCCCUUUGGGGGUCCUCGAGUGGCGAACGGGUGAGUAACACGUGAGUAACCUUCCCUUGACUUCGGGAUAACUUCAGGAAACUGGGGCUAAUACCGGAUAGGAAUCCUUGCUGCAUGGUGGGGGUUGGAAAGCUUCGGCGGUUUUGGAUGGACUCGCGGCUUAUCAGCUUGUUGGUGGGGUAGUGGCUUACCAAGGCUUUGACGGGUAGCAGGCCUGAGAGGGCGACCGGCCACAUUGGGACUGAGAGACGGCCCAGACUCCUACGGGAGGCAGCAGUGGGGAAUAUUGAACAAGGGGCGGAAGGCGGAUGCAGCAACGCCGCGUGCGGGAUGACGGCCUUAGGGUUGUAAAACGCUUUCAGCAGGGGCGAAGCUUGUGGUGACGGUACCUGCAGAAGAAGCACCGGCUAACUACGUG